CAGUAGCCCGGGAAUACAGAGGGUGCGAGCGUUAAUCGGAUUUACUGGGCGUAAAGCGUGCGUAGGCGGCUUCUUAAGUCGGAUGUGAAAUCCCUGAGCUUAACUUAGGAAUUGCAUUCGAUACUGGGAAGCUAGAGUAUGGGAGAGGAUGGUAGAAUUCCAGGUGUAGCGGUGAAAUGCGUAGAGAUCUGGAGGAAUACCGAUGGCGAAGGCAGCCAUCUGGCCUAAUACUGACGCUGAGGUACGAAAGCAUGGGGAGCAAACAGGAUUAGAUACCCCCGUAGUCCCUGUCUCUUAUACA
Molecule: ribosomal RNA, 301 nt
Filed under: uncultured bacterium
Lineage: Bacteria
Description: partial 16S ribosomal RNA
Rfam family: Bacterial small subunit ribosomal RNA
Source: RNAcentral